AGCGUAGACGGCACGGCAAGCCAGAUGUGAAAGCCCGGGGCUCAACCCCCGGGACCUGCAUUUGGAACUGCUGAGCUAGAGUGUCGGAGAGGCAAGCGGAAUUCCUAGUGUAGCGGUGAAAUGCGUAGAUAUUAGGAGGAACACCAGUGGCGAAGGCGGCUUGCUGGACGAUGACUGACGUUGAGGCUGAAAGCGUGGGGAGCAAACA
Molecule: ribosomal RNA, 208 nt
Filed under: uncultured bacterium
Lineage: Bacteria
Description: partial 16S ribosomal RNA
Rfam family: Bacterial small subunit ribosomal RNA
Source: RNAcentral